Molecule: ribosomal RNA, 433 nt
Filed under: uncultured bacterium
Lineage: Bacteria
Description: partial 16S ribosomal RNA
Rfam family: Bacterial small subunit ribosomal RNA
Source: RNAcentral
AACGAACGCUGGCGGCAUGCCUAACACAUGCAAGUCGAACGAGACCUUCGGGUCUAGUGGCGCACGGGUGCGUAACGCGUGGGAACCUGCCCUUAGGUUCGGAAUAACUCCCCGAAAGGGGUGCUAAUACCGGAUAAUGUCUUCGGACCAAAGAUUUAUCGCCUUUGGAUGGGCCCGCGUUGGAUUAGCUAGUUGGUAGGGUAAAAGCCUACCAAGGCGACGAUCCAUAGCUGGUCGGAGAGGAUGAUCAGCCACACUGGGACUGAGACACGGCCCAGACUCCUACGGGAGGCAGCAGUGGGGAAUAUUGGACCAUGGGCGCAGGCCUGAUCCAGCAAUGCCGCGUGAGUGAUGAAGGCCUUAGGGUUGUAAAGCUCUUCUACCCGGGAUGAUAAUGACGGUACCGGGAGAAUAAGCACCGGCUAACUCCGUG